RNAcentral lists this ribosomal RNA (497 nucleotides) under uncultured bacterium. Its description in RNAcentral is "partial 16S ribosomal RNA". It matches the Rfam family "Bacterial small subunit ribosomal RNA", at positions 28 to 507 of the family's 1533-position model. The record is from RNAcentral.
GAUGAACGCUGGCGGCGUGCCUAAUACAUGCAAGUCGAGCGAACAGAUGAGGAGCUUGCUCCUCUGACGUUAGCGGCGGACGGGUGAGUCACACGUGGAUAACCUACCUAUAAGACUGGGAUAACUUCGGGAAACCGGCGCUAAUACCGGAUAAUAUAUUGAACCGCAUGGUUCAAUAGUGAAAGACGGUUUUGCUGUCACUUAUAGAUGGAUCCGCGCCGCAUUAGCUAGUUGGUAAGGUAAAGGCUUACCAAGGCAACGAUGCGUAGCCGACCUGAGAGGGUGAUCGGGCACCCUGGAACUGAGACAGGGUACAGACUCCUACGGGAGGAAGCAGUAGGGAAUCUUACGCAAUGGGCGAAAGCUGGACGGAGCAACGCCGCGGGAGUGAUGAAGGUCUUCGGAUCGGAAAACGCUGUUAGUAGUGAAGAACAAAUGUGUAAGUAACGAUGCACGUCUUGACGGUACCUAAUCAGAAAGCCACGGCUAACUACGUG